Molecule: transfer RNA, 72 nt
Filed under: Ovis aries (sheep)
Lineage: Eukaryota; Metazoa; Chordata; Mammalia; Artiodactyla; Bovidae
Rfam family: tRNA
About the family: Transfer RNA (tRNA) molecules are approximately 80 nucleotides in length. Their secondary structure includes four short double-helical elements and three loops (D, anti-codon, and T loops). Further hydrogen bonds mediate the characteristic L-shaped molecular structure. tRNAs have two regions of fundamental functional importance: the anti-codon, which is responsible for specific mRNA codon recognition, and the 3' end, to which the tRNAs corresponding amino acid is attached (by aminoacyl-tRNA synthetases). tRNAs cope with the degeneracy of the genetic code in two manners: having more than one tRNA (with a specific anti-codon) for a particular amino acid; and 'wobble' base-pairing, i.e. permitting non-standard base-pairing at the 3rd anti-codon position.
Source: Rfam by way of RNAcentral
UCCCUGGUGGUUCACUGGUAAAGAAUCUGCCUGCCAAUGCAGAAGAUACAGGUUCGAUCCCUGGCUUGGGAA